CGGCGGGCCCGCCGUUUCGACGGCCGCCGGGGAGGCCUUGCGCCCCCGGGCCCGCGCCCGCCGAAGACCCCAACAUGAACGCUGUUCUGAAAGUAUGCAGUCUGAGUUGAUUAUCGUAAUCAGUUAAAACUUUCAACAACGGAUCUCUUGGUUCCGGCAUCGAUGAAGAACGCAGCGAAAUGCGAUAAGUAAUGUGAAUUGCAGAAUUCAGUGAAUCAUCGAGUCUUUGAACGCACAUUGCGCCCCUGGUAUUCCGGGGGGCAUGCCUGUCCGAGCGUCAUUGCUGCCCUCAAGCACGGCUUGUGUGUUGGGCCCCCGUCCCCCUCUCCCGGGGGACGGGCCCGAAAGGCAGCGGCGGCACCGCGUCCGGUCCUCGAGCGUAUGGGGCUUUGUCACCUGCUCUGUGGCCCGGCCGGCGCCAGCCGACACCCAACUUUAUUUUUCUAAGGUUGACCUCGGAUCAGGUAGGGAUACCCGCUGAACUUAAGCAUAUCAA
This 496-nucleotide ribosomal RNA is filed under the name Aspergillus fumigatus. RNAcentral's name for it is "eukaryotic LSU rRNA". The stretch from base 128 to 280 matches the Rfam family "5.8S ribosomal RNA". The record is from RNAcentral. Lineage: Eukaryota; Fungi; Ascomycota; Eurotiomycetes; Eurotiales; Aspergillaceae.